RNAcentral lists this unclassified non-coding RNA (6951 nucleotides) under Apis florea (little honeybee). RNAcentral describes it as "ubiquitin carboxyl-terminal hydrolase 7, transcript variant X7". Lineage: Eukaryota; Metazoa; Arthropoda; Insecta; Hymenoptera; Apidae. The record is from RNAcentral.
UGCAUGCAGAACAAACAGGCAAGAGGUAAGCAAUAGAACAGUGUAGUUCGUCGCCAUUUUGUUUAUUUUCACGUAAAAGAGAUUUGAGAGACGAUCAUCGAAGCAGAUCGUUCUGUCUUUGUUCGUGAAAACAUCAGCUGAGUGUCUCAAUAAUCAAAUUAAAAAACUGGAAGCAUUGAUAAAAAAAUUUGUUAGCACAGAGAAUCAUUGGCAGAGGUUGGAAAGAGUAUUAAGAUCGAAACAUAGUGGAGCUGAAGUUUGCAAGAAGUACGUAGGUUUCACGAUUAGUAGCGCGCCGGUCCCGCGGUGCGGAAACCGUUUCUCGGAUCGGUCGAGAAAGAGUGAGGGAGUACAGAGUGAAAAGUGUGAGCAAGAUAGAUACUACAGAAAUAAGAAAAGAAAUAGUUGUAGCGACAAAAGCAGGGACAACGUAGAAAUUACGAAGAUAUUGCACAAGGGUGGAAUAUAUGUUGUGGGCGUCCCCCGAAAAAGCGGGGGCAUUUGAUAGCCGCAGAAAUUGGGCUCAUCACAAGUAAAUAUCAAUCGUCGUCGUGUGGUAAAACGACGUCGCUCUCAAAUCGUAGUAGUGACGCGAGCCCGGUUACGAUUGGAAUUGAACAAGUACAAGAGCAAAAUUUGCUUGAGCAAAAAUCUUCCGUCCCUGACGAGAAUAAUCAGUUUAUCGAACGACAACAGUCAAUUUUUGCUCGCAACUCGUUCAUAGUUACACCAGUUAAAUUAACUUCAGAAGUAACCUCGACGGCGGAAGCCGCCUCCGAGGUUCCCGGCGCAAUCAAGACGACCAUCAAUAUCGGCAUUGCGAUGAACCACGUUAACGAUCAAGAAAAUCUUAAACAGCUCAACCUGGCACCAGUUCAGGUUAAUGAAGUUGAAGAAAUGGAUACACAAGAAGGAGAAACACCAAAUGAUGGUGGAGGAGAUGGCAAUGAUACUAGUCCUAUGAACGGAGAAUCAGAAUUAGCUUGUAUAGUUCAAGAUCAAGAAAUGGAGGAAGACGAAGCAAGAUCAGAAGCAACAUUUCGCUAUACAGUGGAAAAUCUUUCUAAAAUGAAAGAAACUCAGUUAUCACCUCCAUGUUAUGUUCGUAAUUUGCCAUGGAAGAUAAUGGUAAUGCCAAGAUCAAGUCAAACACAAGAUAGAGCUCCUCAAAAAUCACUUGGUUUCUUCUUGCAAUGUAAUGGAGAAAGUGAAUCAUCGUGGAGUUGUUAUGCAGUUGCAGAUCUUCGAUUACUUUCUUGUAAAGAAGGACAGGAACCAUUUAGUAGAAAGAUUCAACAUCUUUUCUAUAGUAAAGAAAAUGAUUGGGGAUUUAGUCAUUUUAUGACAUGGCAAGAUGUCUUGGAUCCUGAUAAAGGUUUUAUUAAAGAUGAUUCUAUUACACUUGAGGUUCAUGUCAUGGCUGAUGCUCCACAUGGUGUCAGUUGGGAUAGUAAAAAACAUACAGGAUUUGUAGGUUUAAAAAAUCAAGGUGCUACAUGCUAUAUGAAUUCUUUGCUUCAAACUUUGUAUUUUACUAAUCAGUUACGUAAAGCAGUCUACAAAAUGCCGACUGAAAGUGAUGACUCUAGCAAAAGUGUUGCUUUGGCUUUACAAAGGGUAUUUCAUGAAUUGCAAUUCUCUGAUAAACCAGUAGGUACAAAAAAAUUAACUAAAAGUUUUGGUUGGGAAACAUUGGAUUCUUUUAUGCAACAUGAUGUACAAGAAUUUUUACGAGUGCUUUUAGAUAAGUUGGAAAGUAAAAUGAAAGGUACAUGUGUAGAGGGUACAGUGCCAAAAUUAUUUGAAGGAAAAAUGGUGUCAUUUAUCAAGUGUAAAAAUAUUGAUUAUAAAUCAACUAGGGUUGAAACUUUCUAUGAUAUACAAUUAAAUAUUAAAAGGAAGAAAAAAUUUUAUGAGUCAUUUAAUGAUUAUGUGAGUACUGAAAGUCUGGAUGGUGAUAAUAAAUAUGAUGCUGGAGAAAAUGGUUUACAAGAGGCGGAAAAAGGUGUUAUCUUUUCAUCAUUUCCACCAGUAUUGCAUUUACAUUUAAUGCGAUUUCAAUAUGAUCCAGUUACAGAUUGUUCUGUGAAAUUUAAUGAUAGGUUUGAAUUUUAUGAAAAAAUAAGUCUUGGAAAAUAUUUACAAAGUAAAGAAACAACAAGUGCAGAUUACACAUUGCAUGCAGUCUUAGUUCAUAGUGGGGAUAAUCAUGGUGGACAUUAUGUUGUAUUUAUCAACCCUGCUGGUGAUGGAAAAUGGUGCAAAUUCGACGAUGAUGUCGUCUCAAGGUGUACAAAACAAGAAGCUAUUGAACACAAUUAUGGUGGUCAAGAUGAGGAUAUGUCUAUAGCUGUGAAACAUUGUACGAACGCCUAUAUGUUGGUGUACAUAAGGGAUUCUGAGUUGGAAAACGUCUUACAAGAAGUUAAGGAAGAGGAUAUACCUCAAGAGCUGGUGGAGAGGCUGCAAGAGGAGAAGAGGCUGGAACAAAUACGAAGAAAGGAAAGAACAGAAGCAUACUUGUAUAUAACCGUCAACGUCCUUCUUGAGGAUAAUUUUGACGGUCACCAAGGAAAUGACUUAUAUGAUCCAGAACAUGCUUUGUAUCGUGUAUUUCGCGUACGUAAGCAGUGUACCUUGCACGAGUUUCUCGAAUUGCUGAGUGAUAGCUUGAAAUAUCCAAUAGAGCAAAUUCGUCUAUGGCCACUGAAUGUACGUUCAAACCAAACUUGUAGACCAAUGCCAAUUGAAUUAGAAAAUGAUCUUCAAAAAUCUAUUUAUCAAUGCGCGGAGAAUCCGAAUGUUUGGAAUGUAUUUGUCGAACUCGUUCCUCCAGAUUCUGAUUUAACAGCGUUGCCACCUUUUGAUAAAGACACUGAUGUUCUCUUAUUUUUUAAAUUAUAUGAUCCUAAGAAUAAAAAGAUUCAUUACUGUGGACAUCACUAUAUGCCUGUCACAGCUAAAGUCCAGGAACUUAUACCAAUUUUAAAUGAGAGAGCUGGUUUUCCACCUGAUACGGAAUUAGCUCUUUAUGAAGAAAUUAAACCAAAUUUGGUAGAAAAAAUAGAUAAUCUAACAGAACCAUUAGAAAAAGUUCUUGAAGAAUUAAUGGAUGGAGAUAUUAUUGUUUUUCAAAAAGAAGGAGACAAUCAAAUGUAUGAGCUUCCAACAUGUAGAGAAUAUUUUAAAGAUCUAUUUCAUAGAGUAGAAGUUACAUUUUGUGAUAAAACGAUUCCUAAUGAUACUGGUUUUACAAUGGAACUUUCAUUAAGAAUGACAUAUGACCAAAUGGCAAGAGCUGUGGCACAGAGACUUGGUACAGAUCCUUAUCUUCUGCAGUUCUUUAAAUGUCAAACUUACAAAGAUUCACCUGGACAUCCAUUAAAAUGUACAUUUGAAGGUUCAUUGAAAGAUUUGGUUUCUUACUGUAAACCUAAAGCGAAAAAAUUAUAUUAUCAACAGCUUAGUAUUAGAGUAAAUGAACUUGAAAAUAAAAAGCAAUUCAAAUGUAUAUGGGUUGGUCCAUCUCUUAAAGAAGAAAAAGAAAUUAUUCUUUAUCCUAAUAAAAACGGAACAGUAGCAACAUUGCUUGAAGAAGCUAAAAAACAAGUAGAAUUAUCAGAAAAUGGAUCCGGGAAAUUAAGGAUAUUAGAAAUUAAUUCUAGUAAAGUCUCACCUGGUCCAAGAGAAGAUGUACCUUUAGAUAACUUAAAUACAUCUGGUACAAAAUUAUACAGGAUAGAAGAAAUUCCAAAUGAUGAAUUAAAUUUGGCAGAUGAUGAAAUGUUGGUUCCUGUUGCACAUUUUCAUAAGGAUAUUUUUUCAACAUUUGGUAUUCCCUUUUUCUUUAAAAUCAAACAUGGUGAGCCUUUUCCAAAAAUGAAGGAAAGACUACUGAAGAAAUUGGGAGUACAGGAAAAAGAAUUUGAAAAGUUUAAGUUCGCGGUGGUAACAAUGGGUAAACCACACUUUAUUAUGGAUUCGCCAGAAUAUUGCAUGGAUCUUGCAGAUUUUCGUAUUCAUCCAAAUCAAAUUUAUCCACUUUUAAAUGCAGGCACAUCGCCACUUAGGCCUUGGCUUGGCCUAGAACACGUCAACAAAGCGCCAAAGCGCUCUCGUAUCAACUACCUCGAAAAGGCCAUUAAAAUUUACAAUUAAAUUUUCAUCGUACGAAGAAGAAUAAAAUUAGGCAGCCAUUCAUAUAAUUUAUACGACUCUAUAGUAAGAAAGCAACGUCUGAUAUACGAUGGUUGGAAAUGCGUUUGUAUUCGGUUCUUCAGCCAGAUAGUACACAGUUUUAAUAUUAUGAUCAUGUUAACGAAAGGGAUUUUACGUAAUGGCUGGAUCGAUGGUACUACAUUGAUUCCACUAUGCUCCAACAAUGGAUUAGACACUUCUCUCUACAAAAUCAAUUUUUAUGUUUGUAAAUAUUUUGCUGAUCAAUGGCAAUUAUUUAACAAAUAUUUUUGAAAACACUGUUUUCAUUACAUUCGAGUUUAUCAAGAACAAGAAUUUAUUUAAAAGUAUAUUUUAUUACUAAAUAAAGAAAUACGGAUAACAACUGCAGAAUGAAGAAAACUCGUAUCAGGAAACAAAAAGGUAUUUAUAAAUAUAGCGAACUACUUCUGUACAGUACAUUUUUUCUCGAAAUUUUAGUUAUUUGAUCCUGCCACGUAAAAUCUUUGUAAUUGAAUAUAACAAGACCCAAAGAAAUACUAUGUACUGUUCUACGUGAUGUAAUAUUUAAUACCCAUAAUCAGAAAAAAAUUAUCUAUAUAUACUCUUGUUUUAUCAGGAUUAUAUCUAUUCAGGAUGUUUGAAAUGCAAACUUAUAAUUAAUGUUGUAAUCUUACAUUCUAUAUAUUUCUUUGCAAAAUAAUGAACAUUAAUUAAUAUUUUAUAUCAUUUCUUAAUGCAUUUUUAUAUAUAAAAUGUAAUUUAAUUAAAUUUUAAUUGUAGAAAGAUAUAAUUAAAUUAUAUGAUAUUUCAUAACAAAAUUAUUAUCACAAAAUAUCCACAAAAUAAUUUCUAAAUAAAAUUUCUAGAUUGUCUUCCAAACAUCCUGAAAUUUUUUGUUUGAAUAUUCUUUUUGUGUGUGUUUUAUGCGUAUUUCCUAUAUAUUUUAUUGAGAUUCUAUGAAAUUUUGCAAAUAUGUAAUAAUAGAUUAACAUUAAUAAUGAAGUAAUCUCAAUUAAAAUAUCAGAAAAAAAAAAAGAAAAAACACAUUAAAUAUAGUAAAUUCAUCACGAUUUGAGCAAACUAUAUGGAAUAUAUUGGAAGAUAAAAAUUAUUUAAAAAGAAGGGUCAUUUUACAAUUUCAUUAAUCAAGUUUUUUUUUGUUUUAUUAAUUAUUUCAUAGUUUUGUUCUUUUAUUUUUUAUUCACUCCAUACACUCUACGCGAUAACUUGCCACGAUAUUAUUACAAGAUUUCCUAUUAUUUAUGAAUCAUCUUUUAUUCAACAUUUUCUCCUGUCUGUAACUGUGAUUAAAGUCUUUCUUCAAGACGUUUUAAUUCAUGGCUCCACAAUACCUAAGAAUGUUAUUAAAUAUUGAGAGAAGAUGGAGCGAUUUAUUCAAUUUAUUUAAUAAUAAAUUUUUUUCUAAGAGUUUAGUUUAUUAUAGUUAUUUAAAAAAAGAAGAAAGAAUUUUAAAGUUCAAUACAAAACUCUUAAAAUAUAUCAAGUUGAUGAUUUUAAUUCAAGUUAAUUAGUUAGUCUAUUAGAAUAAUUGCUAUAAUACAAUUGGAACGAUAAUUUAUAUUGAUAUAUAAUUUAAAGAAAUGUAUUAAAUGUAGCUCUUAUGAAUAUGUUAUUAUUCUAAUGAUGCCACGUUUUUUAAAGCGCAUUUCAACAUCGACGAAUAAUUACUAUAAAUUGAUAAUAAAUAAGAAAUUUAUGCGAUGUGCAGUAAUAUUUACGAAGACUGGACAUGCUAGUUGUGAAGAUUGCAAUAUUUUGUAAACCCAAACGUGAUUGUACAGCUAGUUUGACUAACUACAGCCGUAAUUUUAAUCAUGUAUAUGCUUUCAUACGUUUCGUUGUAAACAUUCAACUUGCAGUUGAUUAUUUUUGUUCUUGAAAAUAAUUUUAAUAUAUAUCCUAUUAAAAAUUUAGAAUUUCUGUAAUUAUUUUAUUAUGUGGUUUUGAACAAACUCAAAUUUUCUUCGUUCUUUUUUUCUUCUUUUAACUCAUAAAAUUAUUAAUCAUGGAAAGAUAAAAAAAUAUUAAAGAAAUAUUAAAUAGUUUUUAGAAUUGAGAAAAUUAAUAAUUUCAUUUCUGUAACUAAAUUACGUAUGAAAAUCAUUAGUCUGAUUCUUUCUAAUGAUAAUUUUUACGAUUUGCUUUUCUAAUAAAAGCAAUGCAAAAGUUUCGAUCGAAGAAAUAGCGUAUAUAUAUACCUGGAAACUAUGAAAAUAUAAUUAUGUUUUAUUAUUCAUAUAUAUAUAUAUAUAUAUAUAUUUAUAUAUAUAAUUACAUAUGUAUAUUAAUUGUAUACAUAUACAUUUUAUUGUUACGUUCCUCGAUGAAUACUAACAGUAAUAAUGAUUUCGAAGUUGAAGAUAGAUGAAUAUCACUUAUGACAAUGUUAAUAGUAACUAUGUAUUUUUUGCACUAAAUCAUAUGAAAAUUAUAUUGGAAGAAAAUUAUUUAAGUUAUUGUAUUAUAAUAAAAAAAAAAAAAGAAAACAAAAAUAUAUCAGAUUUACAUAUAAUAAAUAAUCUACAAAAGAUGCACUUCUAAUAUGAUAUGAUGCUUGUAAUUAAUUGUAACGCAUUUCUGUUUUUGUACAGCUAAUAUUGUAGCAGCUGCUCAAUUGCGAUUGUAAAAUUUAUCAAUAAUUUUUCAAUAAUUUUUUUUUAAGUAAUAAAAAGCAGAAUAAACGAGACUACGGAAUGCGUAAACGAGAUAGUUGAUAAUAAAUAGAAUAAAAUGAAUGUUUUACGAUUUUAA